This 462-nucleotide ribosomal RNA is filed under the name Streptococcus cristatus. Its description in RNAcentral is "bacterial SSU rRNA". It matches the Rfam family "Bacterial small subunit ribosomal RNA", at positions 28 to 474 of the family's 1533-position model. The record is from RNAcentral. Lineage: Bacteria; Bacillati; Bacillota; Bacilli; Lactobacillales; Streptococcaceae.
GACGAACGCUGGCGGCGUGCCUAAUACAUGCGAGUAGAACGCUGAAGGAGGAGCUUGCUCUUCUGGAUGAGUUGCGAACGGGUGAGUAACGCGUAGGUAACCUGCCUGGUAGCGGGGGAUAACUAUUGGAAACGAUAGCUAAUACCGCAUAACAUUGACUAUUGCAUGAUAGUUAAUUGAAAGGUGCAAAUGCACCACUACCAGAUGGACCUGCGUUGUAUUAGCUAGUUGGUGGGGUAACGGCUCACCAAGGCGACGAUACAUAGCCGACCUGAGAGGGUGAUCGGCCACACUGGGACUGAGACACGGCCCAGACUCCUACGGGAGGCAGCAGUAGGGAAUCUUCGGCAAUGGACGGAAGUCUGACCGAUCAACGCCGCGUGAGUGAAGAAGGUUUUCGGAUCGUAAAGCUCUGUUGUAAGAGAAGAACGAGUGUGAGAGUGGAAAGUUCACACUGUGACG